CGGCUUUACGCACCCGCACGAGGUCGCUGUGGGUCGAGGGCCGGGCUCCUCCACGUCGCGCAUGGCUAGUGGUCUCACAGGUAAAAUUUAGACAAGAUUUCCAAAGAUUGAAAACCAUCACAAAGAACACUGAGGAAGUUAGAUGAGACUUUGGUGCUGUGGCCUCUCCCGUUGCAGAGCACAAGCUCCGGACACGCAGGCUCAGCGGCCAUGGGCCUAACCGCUUCGCGGCAUCUUCCCG
Long non-coding RNA from Physeter macrocephalus (sperm whale), 241 nucleotides. RefSeq lists it as uncharacterized. The record is from RefSeq and is a predicted model, not a curated record. The transcript is spliced from 3 exons. Lineage: Eukaryota; Metazoa; Chordata; Mammalia; Artiodactyla; Physeteridae.